AAGUCGUAACAAGGUCUCCGUUGGUGAACCAGCGGAGGGAUCAUUAUAGAGUUAUACAACUCCAAAACCCAUGUGAACAUACCUGUUGCCUCGGUGGCCUACCCGGUAGUUACCCUGUAGUUACCUUGUAGUCCGCCGAAGGACCAUUUAAACUCUUUUAUAUCUAUCUCUGAGUAAAAAACAAAUAAGUUAAAACUUUCAACAACGGAUCUCUUGGUUCUG
RNAcentral lists this unclassified non-coding RNA (222 nucleotides) under fungal sp. RNAcentral's name for it is "partial internal transcribed spacer region". The stretch from base 1 to 46 matches the Rfam family "Eukaryotic small subunit ribosomal RNA", at positions 1786 to 1831 of the family's 1831-position model. The record is from RNAcentral. Lineage: Eukaryota; Fungi.